RNAcentral lists this ribosomal RNA (137 nucleotides) under uncultured eukaryote. RNAcentral's name for it is "partial 18S ribosomal RNA". It matches the Rfam family "Eukaryotic small subunit ribosomal RNA", at positions 1299 to 1458 of the family's 1831-position model. The record is from RNAcentral.
UGGUGGAGUGAUUUGUCUGCUUAAUUCCGAUAACGAACGAGACCUUAACCUGCUAAAUAGCCAGGCCGGCUUUUGCUGGUCGCCGGCUUCUUAGAGGGACUAUCGGCUCAAGCCGAUGGAAGUUUGAGGCAAUAACA